UGAUGGACUGGAAUACUCACUACCGUAUCUUUUUAAGUCUAUUGAAUUUGAGGCAAGGUCAUCAGCGUAAUAGGGAGCAACUGUGGAUGAAGAGAAAGAAGCCAUCCUAAAAUCAGAGGCCAAACCAAGGAGAAGGAGCCAAUAAAGGGGGCUGAGGAGCACAACACCAAAAAUCUCAACUAUCUUAAAAGCCAAGGAGAAAAGUCCAAGAGGAGGUGGGAGGAGAUCAAUUGUGCUAACAAGCCAAAUAAAAUACAGAAAUGUGACCAUAAGAAAGAAAGCACAGAGUGGAGACAGCUGCAGACCUUUCACUUCUGAAAGAAGAAACCCCUUUACAUUGAUUCCAUAAGUUGCACAGGCAUGAAGAGCCGUAAUUGGGCUGAACUGCUUCUCUCUUUGGAACAUCUGAUGACAUUAUCAAACCACCAUCAUUAGCCAUUUGCAAAGUUCUGCUGCAGAUAAUGGAGCCAACAGAAACAGCUAACGCCUCAUUUUUCAAAUCUGCAAUAAAACUAGAAAUUAAAAA
Marmota flaviventris (yellow-bellied marmot) is the source of this 526-nucleotide long non-coding RNA. RefSeq lists it as uncharacterized. Lineage: Eukaryota; Metazoa; Chordata; Mammalia; Rodentia; Sciuridae. The record is from RefSeq and is a predicted model, not a curated record.